Molecule: RNase P RNA, 383 nt
Filed under: Klebsiella variicola
Lineage: Bacteria; Pseudomonadati; Pseudomonadota; Gammaproteobacteria; Enterobacterales; Enterobacteriaceae
Description: RNase P RNA component class A
Rfam family: Bacterial RNase P class A
About the family: Ribonuclease P (RNase P) is a ubiquitous endoribonuclease, found in archaea, bacteria and eukarya as well as chloroplasts and mitochondria. Its best characterised activity is the generation of mature 5'-ends of tRNAs by cleaving the 5'-leader elements of precursor-tRNAs.
Source: RNAcentral
GAAGCUGACCAGACAGUCGCCGCUUCGUCGUCGUCCUCCUUCGGGGGGAGACGGGCGGAGGGGAGGAAAGUCCGGGCUCCAUAGGGCAAGGUGCCAGGUAACGCCUGGGGGGUGUCACAGCCCACGACCAGUGCAACAGAGAGCAAACCGCCGAUGGCCCGCGUAAGUGGGAUCAGGUAAGGGUGAAAGGGUGCGGUAAGAGCGCACCGCGCGGCUGGUAACAGUCCGCGGCACGGUAAACUCCACCCGGAGCAAGGCCAAAUAGGGGUUCAUAAGGUACGGCCCGUACUGAACCCGGGUAGGCUGCUUGAGCCAGUGAGCGAUUGCUGGCCUAGAUGAAUGACUGUCCACGACAGAACCCGGCUUAUCGGUCAGUUUCACCU